UACGGAGGGGGCUAGCGCUGUUCGGAAUUACUGGGCGUAAAGCGCGCGUAGGCGGCUUUGUAAGUUAGAGGUGAAAGCCCGAAGCUCAACUUCGGAAUUGCCUUUAAGACUGCAUCGCUAGAAUCAUGGAGAGGUUAGUGGAAUUCCGAGUGUAGAGGUGAAAUUCGUAGAUAUUCGGAAGAACACCAGUGGCGAAGGCGACUAACUGGACAUGUAUUGACGCUGAGGUGCGAAAGCGUGGGGAGCAAACAGG
RNAcentral lists this ribosomal RNA (253 nucleotides) under uncultured bacterium. RNAcentral's name for it is "partial 16S ribosomal RNA". It matches the Rfam family "Bacterial small subunit ribosomal RNA", at positions 524 to 776 of the family's 1533-position model. The record is from RNAcentral.